AUACGGAGGAUGCGAGCGUUAUCCGGAUUUAUUGGGUUUAAAGGGAGCGUAGGUGGGAUAUUAAGUCAGCUGUGAAAGUUUGGGGCUCAACCUUAAAAUUGCAGUUGAUACUGGUUUCCUUGAGUACGGUACAGGUGGGCGGAAUUCGUGGUGUAGCGGUGAAAUGCUUAGAUAUCACGAAGAACUCCGAUCGCGAAGGCAGCUCACCGGGCCGGAACUGACACUGAUGCUCGAAAGUGCGGGUAUCAAACAGGAUUAGAUACCCUGGUAGUCCGCACAGUAAACGAUGAUUACUAGCUGUUUGCGAUAUACAGUAAGUGGCACAGCGAAAGCGUUAAGUAAUCCACCUGGGGAGUACGCCGGCAACGGUGAAACUCAAAUGAAUUGACGGGG
This 393-nucleotide ribosomal RNA is filed under the name uncultured bacterium. Its description in RNAcentral is "partial 16S ribosomal RNA". It matches the Rfam family "Bacterial small subunit ribosomal RNA", at positions 523 to 918 of the family's 1533-position model. The record is from RNAcentral.